AGUGAACGCUGGCGGUAGGCCUAACACAUGCAAGUCGAACGGCAGCACAGUAAGAGCUUGCUCUUACGGGUGGCGAGUGGCGGACGGGUGAGGAAUACAUCGGAAUCUACUUUUUCGUGGGGGAUAACGUAGGGAAACUUACGCUAAUACCGCAUACGACCUACGGGUGAAAGCAGGGGAUCUUCGGACCUUGCGCGAUUGAAUGAGCCGAUGUCGGAUUAGCUAGUUGGCGGGGUAAAGGCCCACCAAGGCGACGAUCCGUAGCUGGUCUGAGAGGAUGAUCAGCCACACUGGAACUAGGACACGGUCCAGACUCCUACGAGAGGCAGCAGUGGGGAAUAUUGGACAAUGGGCGCAAGCCUGAUCCAGCCAUACCGCGUGGGUGAAGAAGGCCUUCGGGUUGUAAAGCCCUUUUGUUGGGAAAGAAAAGCAGCAGGUUAAUACCCCGCUGUUCUGACGGUACCCAAAGAAUAAGCACCGGCUAACUUCGUG
This 492-nucleotide ribosomal RNA is filed under the name uncultured bacterium. RNAcentral's name for it is "partial 16S ribosomal RNA". It matches the Rfam family "Bacterial small subunit ribosomal RNA", at positions 29 to 507 of the family's 1533-position model. The record is from RNAcentral.